RNAcentral lists this small RNA (127 nucleotides) under Marmota monax (woodchuck). Lineage: Eukaryota; Metazoa; Chordata; Mammalia; Rodentia; Sciuridae. The record is from RNAcentral.
GCUGGGUGUGGUGGCAUAUGCCUGUAAUCCCAGUCACUUAGGAGGCUGAGGCAGGAGGAUUGCAGGUUUGAAGCCAGCCUUAGCAAUUUAGCAAGGCUGUAAGCGACCUAGUGAGUCCCUUUCUCAA